ACGAACGCUGGCGGCGUGCUUAACACAUGCAAGUCGAACGGAAAGGCCCUGCUUUUGUGGGGUGCUCGAGUGGCGAACGGGUGAGUAACACGUGAGUAACCUGCCCUUGACUUUGGGAUAACUUCAGGAAACUGGGGCUAAUACCGGAUAGGAGCUCCUGCUGCAUGGUGGGGGUUGGAAAGUUUCGGCGGGUGGGGAUGGACUCGCGGCUUAUCAGCUUGUUGGUGGGGUAGUGGCUUACCAAGGCUUUGACGGGUAGCCGGCCUGAGAGGGUGACCGGCCACAUUGGGACUGGGAUACCGCCCCGGCUCCUACGGGAGGCAGCAGUGGGGAAUAUUGCACAAUGGGCGGAAGCCUGAUGCAGCAACGCCGCGUGCGGGAUGACGGCCUUCGGGUUUUAAACCGCUUUCGCCUGUGACGAAGCGUGAGUGACGGUAAUGGGUAAAGAAGCACCGGCUAACUACGUG
Molecule: ribosomal RNA, 467 nt
Filed under: uncultured bacterium
Lineage: Bacteria
Description: partial 16S ribosomal RNA
Rfam family: Bacterial small subunit ribosomal RNA
Source: RNAcentral